UGGGGAAUAUUGCACAAUGGGCGCAAGCCUGAUGCAGCCAUGCCGCGUGUAUGAAGAAGGCCUUCGGGUUGUAAAGUACUUUCAGCGGGGAGGAAGGGAGUAAAGUUAAUACCUUUGCUCAUUGACGUUACCCGCAGAAGAAGCACCGGCUAACUCCGUGCCAGCAGCCGCGGUAAUACGGAGGGUGCAAGCGUUAAUCGGAAUUACUGGGCGUACAGCGCACGCAGGCGGUUUGUUAAGUCAGAUGUGAAAUCCCCGGGCUCAACCUGGGAACUGCAUCUGAUACUGGCAAGCUUGAGUCUCGUAGAGGGGGGUAGAAUUCCAGGUGUAGCGGUGAAAUGCGUAGAGAUCUGGAGGAAUACCGGUGGCGAAGGCGGCCCCCUGGACGAAGACUGACGCUCAGGUGCGAAAGCGUGGGGAGCAAACAGG
This 429-nucleotide ribosomal RNA is filed under the name Chloroflexota bacterium. RNAcentral's name for it is "Chloroflexi bacterium partial 16S ribosomal RNA". It matches the Rfam family "Bacterial small subunit ribosomal RNA", at positions 355 to 776 of the family's 1533-position model. Lineage: Bacteria; Bacillati; Chloroflexota. The record is from RNAcentral.